This is a long non-coding RNA of Sapajus apella (tufted capuchin), 2139 nucleotides long. RefSeq lists it as uncharacterized. Lineage: Eukaryota; Metazoa; Chordata; Mammalia; Primates; Cebidae. The record is from RefSeq and is a predicted model, not a curated record. The transcript is spliced from 3 exons.
CUUCUGACAUAUGCUUCCUCCUGGACUUCUAAGAAACAGGCCAAAAGUUUAAUUAUCCCUUAAAAUACGUUAAGCCCAAAUGGAAAAAGAAAAUUAAUCACUUAUAGAUUUUUUCUUCUUUAUUAUGAUUCAGUUGGUACAUCUGCAGAUGGCUAAGAAUUUUCCAAGCCGUAUGAAUUCAGAGAGGCAACACUUUCUUUAUUCUUGUUGUUCCAGUCCAUACAUUAAUUCAAGUCCUACAAAAAGGGGAUUGGAACUCAAACAUAGCCGGUGAUCCAGGUGGACGGCUCUGAAUUAUAUUACUACCAGGAUUUAGCAUUGGGUUCAUCUCUGAAAAUACAGCUCAAAACCUAUAUGAUUUCAGCUCCACAGGCUCCACUGAAAAGUAUUGCCUAUCAAAGCAACACGCAGAAAAAGCACCAAGCACACUUGAUAAUAUAAAACCACGCCAUAGCCCCACAGGGUGAGACAAUCUAGUCAGCAAGAAAAAAAAAAAAAUCAUUGUUGGAAAUAUUUCUCCAUAAUGGAAAGCAAUUCGCUGUGAGUCGACUUAUAGAUCAUGACAUAAAACCAAAGAAAAAAAGAAAGAACUCUAAGCAUUGACAGAUGUUCUGUGCUUGCUCCUGUCUCCUGACCCCCUCCGAGUCUCCAUCAGAAGGCUGCCUGACCUGCAGGCUUUCCAGCAACUUAGGAACUGGAGAUCUUUCACACAAAAGGUUUUACCCCUAAUUCCACUGAAAACCCCCUUCAACCAAGAAAAACUUUUUUUCUCACAGGAGAAUUUAAGAGAGUCUAUGGAUUCAUGCUCGAUUUCAUAAUUUCCUCUCUGUACAAAAACCUGGGUAUUUAUUUCUCUUACGCAAUUUCCAGGGAGUCAGUUGCAUGACCUGACUUGUAUUCUGCUGGUCUACUGAGGGACCUUACCGUCAAACAGUCACUCUUGGUGAGAACAUACCCAAGGGCUGAUAUAUGACUGCAAAGGAACUUAACAAUUCCUGGAAGGAAAAGGGUUAAGAGCCAGUAAAAACAGCAUAAAUUUACACAUGACCUAGUGUGAUUACACUUUAUUCUCUUCCUUGGAAGGAACAACAACAAUGACAAACUCCAUAACUAAUGCUUCUGGUCUAAAAAACUGCUCCCGAAAGGACACGUUUUCACCCACUACCGAUGAUCUCAACAACUUUCUGGAUAGAAAAGACCUAUAGACAGAGAGAUGUACUUGCCGAAAUUUUUCAUCAGCUGAAGAACAGGAGAGCCUGCUGCCACAGAGAGGAGAAGUUGCUCUUUUGCCUUUAGCCAUGGAUGCAUCAGGGUCACCAUGUAUUUGACUGGAGAGCCCACAGAUGUCACUGACACAGCAGCUUCUCUGACAAUAGACCGUCAAUGGUACACUCUUCUGUUUCUCCCCUCUCCUCCUCCUCCCUGCUGUCUACACACAGAUUCUUCAAGGAAAACCUUUGCAAUGCUUCCUGGUAAUAGGACUGAAGUAUCUGGAGUAGCAGAUACCUUAGAAGAGUUAUCUUGAAACUUUCUGAAUACAAUUGAUUGUAUCAGAAGCGCUGCUGAAGAACUAAAUUAAAUGGAAAAUGUAGACAUCCAGAAAGAAGUAAACAUUUAGAGAUAGCAUAAUUGGAAGAUUUUUAUUUUAAAAAUCCACUCCUAAAAAAAGAAAAAAAAAACCUAAUUUGUGUGUGUGUGUGUGUGUGUGUGGCGUGACUUCCCUUACAUAUCGGCUACUCUGAAAUAUAUCUCUCUCCUUUGAUUCAUGAAAAACAAUAUGGGCAAGAUAAUUAUUGAUGGAAACAUGUCUGGGUCAGGAAAAUGACCCAGAACCAAGAUUUAUGCUUUCCCAGAGAAUAUUCCUAUAUUACUAGACCUGUAGAAAAGAAAACCCUGAGCUUUUCUGAUAUUUUUAAGUAAGGGCGCCACAUGUUCCCUUCUAGAAAGAAAAAUAAGAGUGUGCAAGCUGUGCCCACAGGCCAAAUCAAGCUUACAACCUAUACGUACCCUGUGCACUAACAGUGUUUUUAUAUUUUUAAGGUAGCAAAAAAUCAAAAGAGGAAUACUAUUUUGUGACAUUUAAACAUUUUAUGAAAUUGAAGUUAUGUGUAUUCAUGAAUAAAGUUUUAUUGGAACACA